UUCUUCGGAUGAAGAUCUUGGUGACUGAGUGGCGGACGGGUGAGUAACGCGUGGAUAACCUGCCUCACACAGGGGGACAACAGUUGGAAACGACUGCUAAUACCGCAUAAGCGCACGGUAUCGCAUGAUACAGUGUGAAAAACUCCGGUGGUAUGAGAUGGACCCGCGUCUGAUUAGCCAGUUGGCGGGGUAACGGCCCACCAAAGCGACGAUCAGUAGCCGGCCUGAGAGGGUGAACGGCCACAUUGGAACUGAGACACGGUCCAAACUCC
This 272-nucleotide ribosomal RNA is filed under the name uncultured Lachnospiraceae bacterium. RNAcentral's name for it is "partial 16S ribosomal RNA". It matches the Rfam family "Bacterial small subunit ribosomal RNA", at positions 73 to 339 of the family's 1533-position model. The record is from RNAcentral. Lineage: Bacteria; Bacillati; Bacillota; Clostridia; Lachnospirales; Lachnospiraceae.